Molecule: ribosomal RNA, 594 nt
Filed under: uncultured bacterium
Lineage: Bacteria
Description: bacterial SSU rRNA
Rfam family: Bacterial small subunit ribosomal RNA
Source: RNAcentral
CCUACGGGAGGCAGCAGUGGGGAAUAUUGGACAAUGGGCGAAAGCCUGAUCCAGCAAUGCCGCGUGAGUGAUGAAGGCCUUCGGGUCGUAAAGCUCUUUUACCAGGGAUGAUAAUGACAGUACCUGGAGAAUAAGCUCCGGCUAACUCCGUGCCAGCAGCCGCGGUAAUACGGAGGGAGCUAGCGUUGUUCGGAAUUACUGGGCGUAAAGAGUACGUAGGCGGUUAUUCAAGUCAGAGGUGAAAGCCCGGGGCUCAACCCCGGAACUGCCUUUGAAACUAGAUAACUAGAGUCUUGGAGAGGUUAGUGGAAUUCCGAGUGUAGAGGUGAAAUUCGUAGAUAUUCGGAAGAACACCAGUGGCGAAGGCGACUAACUGGACAAGUACUGACGCUGAGGUACGAAAGCGUGGGGAGCAAACAGGAUUAGAUACCCUGGUAGUCCACGCCGUAAACGAUGAUAACUAGUUGUUCGGUCACUUGGUGACUGAGUGACGCAGCUAACGCAUUAAGUUAUCCGCCUGGGGAUACGGUCGCAAGNUUAAAACCNCAAAUGAAUUGACGGCUGAGACGNGCGACGACGACGACGAGGGAGUAG